AUCUUAAGGGAGCAUUCCCAAACAUUCAACUCUACACAAUUACCAUUUCUUUGAUACCCGUCUUUUUUCUUUUCUUUUUCUUUUCACAUCCACACAACCAUGAGCCUUUUCUUUGUUUUUUUUUCUUUGCUCUAUGGUUUCAAGGGUGAUUUCUUUUUCUUGUUUCUUUUCAUACUUUCACCCUUUCAUAAAAACUCACUUCUCCAAGUUUCUAAUCAACUAUUUUUUUUUCUUUACUCUCCCCAACUUUAGAUUCCAAAACCAAAUCUAUUCAAUAAUGCUCUCUACUUAGACAUAAGCAAAAGGAAAAAAAUUUCAAACAACUCGGUUUGAGGGUUCAAUUAACACGAAAGAAA
This 356-nucleotide long non-coding RNA is filed under the name Lathyrus oleraceus (garden pea). RNAcentral's name for it is "Pisum sativum (pea) long non-coding RNA (PSAT_LNC025654)". The record is from RNAcentral. Lineage: Eukaryota; Viridiplantae; Streptophyta; Magnoliopsida; Fabales; Fabaceae.